This 1737-nucleotide ribosomal RNA is filed under the name Ilumatobacteraceae bacterium. RNAcentral describes it as "partial 23S ribosomal RNA". It matches the Rfam family "Bacterial large subunit ribosomal RNA", at positions 1268 to 2925 of the family's 2925-position model. Lineage: Bacteria; Bacillati; Actinomycetota; Acidimicrobiia; Acidimicrobiales; Ilumatobacteraceae. The record is from RNAcentral.
CCGACGUGGAGCGCCAUCGAGUGAGAAUGCAGGCAUGAGUAGCGAGAGAGGGGUGAGAAACCCCUCCGCCGAAAGCCCAAGGGUUCCUGGGGAAGGCUAAUCCUCCCAGGGUGAGUCGGGAGCUAAGGCGAGGCCGCGAGGCGUAGUCGAUGCACAACUGGUUGAUAUUCCAGUACUGCCGUGCCCGCGCCAGGUCCAAGAGUGACAACAUCGGGGCUGCCUUCGGGCGAGCCGUUCGCGUUGCUGGCGGAUAGCUGGAGGGGGACGCAGGAAGGUAGGUGAACCGGGGCGAUGGUUGUCCCCGGGUAAGCGUGUAGGAGGAUCCCGAUGAGAGUUGGGGUCAUUAACUCUGAGACGUGAUGCCGAGCCGAUUAAGGCGAAGUCACUGAUCCUAUGCUGCCAAGAAAAGCCCAACAGUGAGUUGGCACGGCACCCGUACCCCAAACCGACACAGGUGGGCGGGUAGAGAAUACCAAGGCGAUCGGGAGAACUAUGGUUAAGGAACUCGGCAAAUUGCAUCCGUAACUUCGGGAGAAGGAUGACCCUAUUAGGGUGAAGGGAUUUACUCCCCGAGCUCGAGAGGGUGGCACAGACCAGGGGGUAGCGACUGUUUACCAAAAACACAGCAGCGUGCUAAGCCGCAAGGCGCUGUAUACGCUGUGACGCCUGCCCAAUGCUGGAAGGUCACGGGGAACGGUUAGUCGAAAGGCGAAGCUGUGAACCUAAGCCCCAGUGAAUGGCGGCCGUAACUAUAACGGUCCUAAGGUAGCGAAAUUCCUUGUCGGGUAAGUUCCGACCUGCACGAAUGGCGUAACGACUUCCCCACUGUCUCAACCAUAGACCCGGCGAAAUUGAAGUACGAGUAAAGAUGCUCGUUAGCUGCGGAAGGACGGAGAGACCCCAUGGACCUUUACUAUAACUUGAUAUUGAGCUUUGUCCUGCAUUGUGUAGGAUAGGUGGGAGACUUGGAAGCAGUGGCGCCAGCCAUUGUGGAGUCAACGUUGAAAUACCACCCUGUGUAUGACGGGGCUCUAACCUGGGUCCAUUAUCUGGAUCAGGAACAGUGUCAGGCGGGUAGUUUGACUGGGGCGGUCGCCUCCUAAAAUGUAACGGAGGCGCCCAAAGGUUCCCUCAGGCUGGUUGGCAAUCAGCCGUCGAGUGCAAUGACACAAGGGAGCUUGACUGCGAGACUGACAGGUCAAGCAGGUGCGAAAGCAGGGCAUAGUGACCCGGCCAUCACGUGUGGAAGUGUGGUCGCUCAACGGAUAAAAGGUACCCUGGGGAUAACAGGCUAAUCUCCCCCAAGAGUCCAUAUCGACGGGGAGGUUUGGCACCUCGAUGUCGGCUCAUCGCAUCCUGGGGCUGAAGCAGGUCCCAAGGGUUGGGCUGUUCGCCCAUUAAAGCGGUACGCGAGCUGGGUUCAGAACGUCGUGAGACAGUUCGGUCUCUAUCCUCCGCAGCCGAAGGUGUAUUGAGGAAGGCUGUCCCUAGUACGAGAGGACCGGGACGGACGGAGCUCUGGUGUGUCUGUUGUCCUGCCAAGGGCAUUGCAGAUUAGCCACCUCCGGAAGGGAUAACUGCUGAAAGCAUCUAAGUAGGAAACCCGUUCCAAGAUGAGUACACCCAUGCGGUUAACGCAGUAAGGCCCGUGACAAGACCAUCACGUUGAUAGGCCGGAGGUGUAAGCACGGUAACGUGUGUAGCCGACCGGUACUAAUCGGCCGAGGGCUUGGAUUU